GUUUUUGUGGCACAUCCUCUGAUACAACCAUGUUCAGCAGGAGUCACUUGGCAACUUUCAGCUGGUGGAUGGAGUGAUCUGGAGGAUCUGCGAUUGUUUCACUCACAUGCCUGUUCGCAAGGCUGGCCGAAAGGCUGGGAUCAGCGGAGACUGUGAGGCAGAGAGCUCACCUACGGCGUCUCCAGCAUGGCAACCCCAGGGCAUCAGAACUUCUCACGUGGCACCUCAGGACUCCAGGAGUGACUGCUGCCACAAUCCAGGAGGCAGUGUAUGGCCUCUGUGACUUGGCCUCAGAAGUCACACCAUGUCACAUCCUUUCUAGUUUAUUGGCCGAGGCAGUCACAAGGCUGCCCAGAUUCAAGGAGAGGAGACAUAGACCUCUUAGAUGGAAGAGGCAUCAAAGAAUUUGCAGCCAUUUUUAAAACAGCCAGUUUUCUUUGACUGCAUGCUUUUAUUUUCCCCUGUAAUCAUUCUCAAAAUGAGAUCUCUUUAUAGUAGGUGAUGUCAAAUGACAUGGGGGAGUGUCUUUCUCAGGUCUCUUACUGGGAGGUACAGUACUGGUGUGGAUUCCUCCCCGCUGUGUGUAGAAGGCUCUCACCUGGGCUGCAUCAUUCUGGAUGCCACACUAUUACUGACCCAGUCUAAGACAUGAUUAAUCCCUUUGGAGACAAUGUCACAUUGCCAACCCACAUCAAGCUCACUGUAUACUGCAGUCCCAGCUCUUCUUCUUGCUUGCUUGGAAGCACCUGCCCUACCUGCCAGCUGCUAGUGACCCCCGACUCAUAAACAGUCCGUGCCACAGUCUUCUCAUGCUCAACACCAAACUCAUUUGAUUUUGAGUUGGUACAUUUUUGUUCUUCCUAUUUAUGAGGUUCCUCAAAUCCAGGCCCGGGGCAGGCAUCUCUGCUACUCCAUGACUGUCCAUGAGUCAUGGAGAGUGGCCCUGUGAUCUCAGAGGGGUUUUCAAAACCAGAGUGUGUUUGCCAACAAAAAUGAUCAACAUGGAUUGGAGGGGUGGAGAAGGAGUUACAGAGUCCAGAAAGUGAGCCAGCUAAAUCUCCAUCUUUGAAAAUGGAGAGGUUGUAGAUAAUGUCUGAAGUUGACAGAGCAAGGAAAAACAUUCUAUAAACAUAUUACUGUAUUUGGAGUUCUGCGGAUAGCCACUGAAAAACUGAGAAAAGAAAUGCUUCAAGCUGGUUGCCUUUGGAAAGAGCUGGGAGGAAGAGUGGGCUGGGAGAGCGACCAGCUCUCCUUAUACUCAGCCCUACAGUGCAAUGUAGUAUUUUACGUUGUGCAUGGAUUUUUGUAAUAAAAAAUAGUGAUGUGUAUUUGAAUAUUAAAACAUUAUACAACAA
Molecule: long non-coding RNA, 1355 nt
Organism: Mandrillus leucophaeus (drill)
Lineage: Eukaryota; Metazoa; Chordata; Mammalia; Primates; Cercopithecidae
Exons: 2
Source: RefSeq, a predicted model, not a curated record